UUUUUUGGGGGUGGGGGUUGGACGAAUGGGUCAACUAAGACUCGAGCUUUUCUUGUUCAGCCUUUAUCUGAGGCAGAUCGAGCUAGCUUUGUCCAGGGCCAGCCACAAUCAGUAAGGAUGAGGUGAUCCAAACAAAUCUGGGUCCUUCUAUGGUGACAUUGGAGUCGCAAUAUUUGUUGUUAGUUUUCAUAUGUAAUUUUUAUUUGUAUUUUGCAACUUGGAGGUUCAACUAGGUGUUUCUGGAGAUUAUGUUAGUUUUCAUAGUGCCGUCAUGCUAUUAGUAGUUUCCUUGGAGUUGUGCAGUGUUAUUACCCCUUUGUGCCCUUGUACUAUGCCACUGAGGCACACAACUUUGUGCAUUUUUUUUGUUCCUUUAUUUUUUUUUUUUGUGCUUUGCAUAUUUGUGCACCUCUAUGGUUUGGUUGUUCUAUUUGACCAAAACGUAUCCAUUUUUUGUUCAAGCAUUGCAGCUUUAGGGACAUAGUUGAGUAAAUAAAGCUUGCUUUGUAUAUCUGCAAAUUGUUUAGUUUAUGGAACUAGGUUUUUUUUUAAAAUUUUAUCAUUGUAUUGGUUAAUGUUUAUUCCUAAUAAUCGCAAUUUUGAAUAGUUAGUGAUAUUAUUGCCAUAUUGUGUUAGUUUUGUAAGUUAUUUUUUCUAUCUUUAUCAUUCAUGUCAACUAUGCAUUACUUCCAAGCGUUCAAGUAUUUAGCAUAUAUAUUAACGUGACUCAAUUGCCAUGGUCGGUUUAAGCAACUGUACUUUUUCCCCUUAGUACUUAAAUCAAGUAAGAAUGUCAGAAAUUUAUGUUUUUUCAGGCUUUUAGCAACUUUAUUUGUUCUUAAGUUAUGUUUUUGUGCCAAUAUUAAAUAA
Long non-coding RNA from Telopea speciosissima, 870 nucleotides. RefSeq lists it as uncharacterized. The transcript is spliced from 3 exons. Lineage: Eukaryota; Viridiplantae; Streptophyta; Magnoliopsida; Proteales; Proteaceae. The record is from RefSeq and is a predicted model, not a curated record.